GCCAUCCCGGGUUUGGGUCGCUCGGGAAAACGGGAAUCGUUCUCCUUUCCCAAAAAACCCUCAAGAAUUAAAUUAGGAACUUUGUGAUCCUCCCAUCGCAGCCAGCACCGGCCAAAAUUAACCCCAGCAAGCCUCAAUUAAAGCCAAAGGGAGCUGGAAGAUUUGACAUCUGGGAUUGUAAAUUUAUGGCCCUUCAAGGACUCUGGAAGAACAAGAAGAUGCAGAAAGGAUUAAAGGUUGGAAAGUUGGAAAGUCUGAGAAAAAGAUGAUUAAAGGGCUAAAGAAUGUGGGCCAGCUGGAAUUUGCAGAGGGAAUGCUGCCUGGAGCGUGCUACCAGACCAUAAUUGAGUGAGGAUUUUUUUUUUUGUGAGCUUCAAGCAGCUCUUGGUUUCUGCUGCCCAACAAAAAUCCUGGGAACUACGCUGCUUUUGGGAUAUUUGGGGAGAAAUACAACAGGAAAGGUUAAAUGGAUGGCAGAAAUGAGACAGGACGGAGCAGCUCUGUGAUGGUUUAUCCUUGGAAAUGGAAAUACUCUUUGGUUUAUUCCAAAUAUUUAUUAUAUUGUUAGGAAAAACGCCACAAAUAAUCACUGGGAAUUGGAGCCCUCUCUGGCUGCGGUUUUCCGAGCAAGGAAAUUUCUGCAAUUUCCAGGUUUUCCAGCCGGCGUCACUCCUGGGUCGGGCAGAGCCCUGCCACCCAACCUGGAGGUGUUUCUGGCUCUAUGGAAGGACAGCAGUUCUUAAUUUUUAUAACCUUUAUAAAUCCAAAUGAUUUUUGGGGUAAUUUCCCCCGCUUUGUUUCCUUUUCCUGCUGCUCUGAGGUGCGUCUCUGAUAUCCUGGAUUCCCUGCUCUCCUCUUGUGCCGUGUCCUUGCCAUGUCACAUCCCACACAUCAGCUCUUGAAGCACCCAGAAAAGAGCAAAACUUCUUUUUAUAGCUCAGAGAAAGAAACGUUGGGCUCCAUCCUUAAUAAGUUCCCAUGGCAAACUCGCUAAAGUCAAUUUAAAUAUUGUUUAUUUCCAACUGUCCAAAGGCAUUCUGUGAAAAAAUGGUUUGGAAGAUGCUCCUUGUCUUGGAUCUCCAGCUGAGCUCUGAACUCAGGAAAGAAAAACUUCUGCUCCUAAUCCCAUCCAUCCAACCAGAACAACUGAAAUUAUUUUGAAUUUGUUUUUUCAGGUCCUACAAGACCCAGGUUUGGCACUGAGGAAAAGGGUUUGUUUCACAAGUGCCCACCAAAAAAAAGAAUUAACGGGAGGCUCUGCAUCACAAGAUCCCCGUGAACACAAAUUUCUCAAACUCAUAAUAUUUGUGCUUUUUGAAUUAGCCACUUUAUGAGUUAUGGAAAAGGAAAUGAUUGGCACUGACAGAUGAUUCUUUUAAAUGCAGUAUAAAAAAAAAAUAUCGCUAAAAAUACACCUGGAGUUCACCACUUCACAGUGCUGACUCUGGCAGAGGUUUGAAAUGCUGUUAGCAAUGGCUUGUUUUACCCCAAAAUUCUCAUUUUCCAGGUAUUUCUCUGUCUUAUUCAGAAGUAUUUAUGGUUCCUGGGCAC
Molecule: non-coding RNA, 1551 nt
Organism: Cyanistes caeruleus (blue tit)
Lineage: Eukaryota; Metazoa; Chordata; Aves; Passeriformes; Paridae
Source: RefSeq, a predicted model, not a curated record